This 390-nucleotide RNase P RNA is filed under the name Prevotella sp. RNAcentral describes it as "RNase P RNA component class A". It matches the Rfam family "Bacterial RNase P class A". Rfam says of the family: Ribonuclease P (RNase P) is a ubiquitous endoribonuclease, found in archaea, bacteria and eukarya as well as chloroplasts and mitochondria. Its best characterised activity is the generation of mature 5'-ends of tRNAs by cleaving the 5'-leader elements of precursor-tRNAs. Lineage: Bacteria; Pseudomonadati; Bacteroidota; Bacteroidia; Bacteroidales; Prevotellaceae. The record is from RNAcentral.
GCAGUGUCUCGACCUGUCGCUGGUGUCAACCACCUCUAUCCGUUAGGAAGAGAGGGAAGGGCACGAGAGGAAAGUCCGGGCAGCAUAGGGUGCCCCACUUCUGAAAGUAGAAGCAGUUGGUGACAAUUGGAUAUGGAAGAAGAAAAUAACCGCCUCUUUGAGGUAAGGGUGAGAAAGUGGUGUAAGAGACCACUAGUCAACGGGUGAUCGUUGUACUGUUCCAUCUGGGGGCUGCAAGUUCGCGUAUACCAUCGUCUGAGGAUUGCCCGUCCGAGUAAUACGAUGGAGGGUAGAAUGCUAGAGCCGUAGGGUGACUUACGGAGUAGAUAAAUGACAGGUGUCUUCUUUUUUAGGAAGAAACAGAACCCGGCUUAUAGAGGCAGUGCUUUC